CCUACGGGGGGCAGCAGUGGGGAAUAUUGGACAAUGGGCGAAAGCCUGAUCCAGCCAUGCCGCGUGUGUGAAGAAGGCCUUCGGGUUGUAAAGCACUUUCAGUGGGGAAGAAAGCCUUGGGGCUAAUACCCUCGAGGAAGGACAUCACCCACAGAAGAAGCACCGGCUAACUCCGUGCCAGCAUCCGCGGUAAUACGGAGGGUGCGAGCGUUAAUCGGAAUUACUGGGCGUAAAGCGCGCGUAGGCGGUCUGAUAAGCCGGUUGUGAAAGCCCCGGGCUCAACCUGGGAACGGCAUCCGGAACUGUCAGGCUAGAGUGCAGGAGAGGAAGGUAGAAUUCCCGGUGUAGCGGUGAAAUGCGUAGAGAUCGGGAGGAAUACCAGUGGCGAAGGCGGCCUUCUGGACUGACACUGACGCUGAGGUGCGAAAGCGUGGGUAGCAAACAGGAUUAGAUACCCCAGUAGUC
Molecule: ribosomal RNA, 465 nt
Filed under: Vreelandella stevensii
Lineage: Bacteria; Pseudomonadati; Pseudomonadota; Gammaproteobacteria; Oceanospirillales; Halomonadaceae
Description: partial 16S ribosomal RNA
Rfam family: Bacterial small subunit ribosomal RNA
Source: RNAcentral